GAUGAAGAACGUAGCGAAAUGCGAUAAGUAGUGUGAAUUGCAGAAUUCAGUGAAUCGUCGAAUCUUUGAACGCACAUUGCGCCCUUUGGUAUUCCUUAGGGCAUGCCUGUUCGAGCGUCAUUUAAACCUUCAAGCUAAGCUUGGUGUUGGGUGACUGUCCGCUUCACGGCGGACUCGCCUCAAAAUUAUUGGCGGCCGGUACAUUGGCUUCGAGCGCAGCAGAAACGCGAACUCGGGCCCGUCGUAUUGGCUCCCAGAAGCUAUCUUCACAAUUUUGACCUCGGAUCAGGUAGGGAUACCCGCUGAACUUAAGCAUAUCAAUAAGCGGAGGA
This 332-nucleotide unclassified non-coding RNA is filed under the name soil metagenome. RNAcentral describes it as "partial contains 5.8S ribosomal RNA, internal transcribed spacer 2, and large subunit ribosomal RNA". The stretch from base 1 to 120 matches the Rfam family "5.8S ribosomal RNA", at positions 35 to 154 of the family's 154-position model. The record is from RNAcentral.